UACGUAGGGUGCAAGCGUUGUCCGGAAUUAUUGGGCGUAAAGAGCUCGUAGGCGGUUCGUCGCGUCGGCUGUGAAAACCCGGAGCUCAACUCCGGGCCUGCAGUCGAUACGGGCAGACUGGAGUUCGGCAGGGGAGACUGGAAUUCCUGGUGUAGCGGUGAAAUGCGCAGAUAUCAGGAGGAACACCGGUGGCGAAGGCGGGUCUCUGGGCCGAUACUGACGCUGAGGAGCGAAAGCGUGGGGAGCGAACAGG
Molecule: ribosomal RNA, 253 nt
Filed under: uncultured bacterium
Lineage: Bacteria
Description: partial 16S ribosomal RNA
Rfam family: Bacterial small subunit ribosomal RNA
Source: RNAcentral